This 831-nucleotide small RNA is filed under the name Pan troglodytes (chimpanzee). RNAcentral describes it as "processed transcript". The record is from RNAcentral. Lineage: Eukaryota; Metazoa; Chordata; Mammalia; Primates; Hominidae.
AGGGCUCCCUUUGCAGACCUUGGGGCCAGGAGGUGAAGGUGGAGUGCAUCCUCAGUGUUCUUGUCUCCUUCUUUUGUUACCAUUCUCUGAUUGUGAUGCCCUUGCUUCCUGGAUAUGUCCAGUUCUACCAUGCUUCUCUUUCCCAUGUGUCCUGAUCGCUUGCUUUUUGCCAGGCUUUAUAUCCAGCAUGGAUACACAGAGAGGCCCCAACACAGUCUCAACUCCCCAGGGCCUGCCAGUCUAGAGAGGGAUGCUCAAGGAGGAAAGCCACUCACUGGGUCCUCUCCCUGCAGGAACCACCUAGGGGUGCGGAAUGACCUGACUGGAGUUCUGUAUGGCGAAGACAUUGAGAUUUCAGACACCGAGAGCUUCUCCAACGAUCCCUGUACCAGUGUCAAAAAGCUGAAGCAAAGAAGUCUUCUUGUUGCAACUGAAAGCCCAGGCUCCUGACCCCUAUCCGGUGAUACUCUCUUUAGGAACAGAAAGGGUCAACUAGAAGUUUCCCCAGUUGGGAAUGAUGUGCGGAUCAUCCUUGGCCAGUUUGACCAGAAUAUGGCAGCAAAAGUGUUCUGUUGUGCAUACGAGGAGAACAUGUAUGGUAGUAAAUAUCAGUGGAUCAUCCCGGGCUGGUACGAGCCUUCUUGGUGGGAGCAGGUGCACACGGAAGCCAACUCAUCCCGCUGCCUCCGGAAGAAUCUGCUUGCUGCCAUGGAGGGCUACAUUGGUGUGGAUUUCGAGCCCCUGAGCUCCAAGCAGAUCAAGACCAUCUCAGGAAAGACUCCACAGCAAUAUGAGAGAGAGUACAACAACAAGCGGUCAGGCGUGGGGCCC